GACAGAGGGUGCAAACGUUGCUCGGAAUCACUGGGCGUAAAGGGCGUGUAGGCGGGACGGUAAGUCGGGCGUGAAAUCCCUAGGCUCAACCUAGGAACUGCACUCGAAACUACCAUUCUUGAGUGUCGGAGAGGAAAGCGGAAUUCCUGGUGUAGAGGUGAAAUUCGUAGAUAUCAGGAGGAACACCAGUGGCGAAGGCGGCUUUCUGGACGAUAACUGACGCUGAGACGCGAAAGCGUGGGGAGCGAACAGG
This 253-nucleotide ribosomal RNA is filed under the name uncultured bacterium. RNAcentral's name for it is "partial 16S ribosomal RNA". It matches the Rfam family "Bacterial small subunit ribosomal RNA", at positions 524 to 776 of the family's 1533-position model. The record is from RNAcentral.